GGGCCUGUAGCUCAGUUGGUUAGAGCACUCGCUUGAUAAGCGAGGGGUCGAUGGUUCAAGUCGUUCAGGCCCACCA
Molecule: transfer RNA, 76 nt
Filed under: Acholeplasma laidlawii
Lineage: Bacteria; Bacillati; Mycoplasmatota; Mollicutes; Acholeplasmatales; Acholeplasmataceae
Description: tRNA-Ile
Rfam family: tRNA
About the family: Transfer RNA (tRNA) molecules are approximately 80 nucleotides in length.
Source: RNAcentral